This 596-nucleotide unclassified non-coding RNA is filed under the name Pholiurus pannonicus. Its description in RNAcentral is "sequence contains ITS1, 5.8S rRNA gene and ITS2". The stretch from base 224 to 379 matches the Rfam family "5.8S ribosomal RNA". The record is from RNAcentral. Lineage: Eukaryota; Viridiplantae; Streptophyta; Magnoliopsida; Poales; Poaceae.
UCGUGACCCUGACCAAAACAGACCGUGCACGCGUCAUCUAUCCUGCCGGCGGCGGCACCGCCCGUCGCUUGGCCAAAGUCCUUGAUGACCUCCUCUCCUCGGAGAGGGGUCUUGGGGUAAAAGAACCCACGGCGCCGAAGGCGUCAAGGAACACUAUGCCUAACAUAGGGACGCGGCUGGCUUGCUAGCCGCCCCCCGUGUUGCAAUGCUAUUUAAUCCACACGACUCUCGGCAACGGAUAUCUCGGCUCUCGCAUCGAUGAAGAACGUAGCGAAAUGCGAUACCUGGUGUGAAUUGCAGAAUCCCGCGAACCAUCGAGUCUUUGAACGCAAGUUGCGCCCGAGGCCACCUGGCCGAGGGCACGCCUGCCUGGGCGUCACGCCAAAUACGCUCCAACACCCUCAUCGGGCAGUGGGAUGCGGCUUGUGGCCCCCCGUCACGCAAGAGGCGGUGGGCCGAAGAUGCGGCUGCCGGCGUAUCGUGCCGGACACAGCGCGUGGUGGGCGACCUCGCUUUACUUACCGCAGUGCAUCCGACGCGUAGCCGACGUGAUGGCCUUGAUGGACCCUAUAAACGGAGCGCAUGACGCUUCGACC